GCUAAGAUUUCUUCGAACAUCUGUUUGCAAGCAUACGUUCGGCCUUCACUGGUUGGCUAUGUAAGCAAGCGCUUUACCUUGAGAAAAUUAGAGUGUUCCAGGCAGGCUUCAGCCGGAAUACAUUAGCAUGGAAUAAUGGAAUAGGACUGGGGACUAUUUAUUGGUUUGAGGCUCCAGUAAUGAUUAAUAGGAACAGUCGGGGGCAUUGGUACUUAACAGUCAGAGGUGAAAUUCUUGGAUUUGUUAAAGACUAACUAAUGCGAAAGCAUUUGCCAAGCAUGUUUUCAUUAAUCAAGAACGAAAGUUAGGGGAUCAAAGACGAUUAGAUACCGUCCUAGUCUUAACUGUAAACGAUUCCAUCUUAGAAUUGGGUGAAUAUUUGAUGAUUCAUCCAGCGCUAUAAGAGAAAUCAAAGUCUUUGGGUUCUUGGUGGAGUACGAUCGCAAGAUUGAAACUUAAAGGAAUUGACGGUUUUGCACACCAUGGAGUGGAGCCUGUGGCUUAAUUGUACAACACUGGGAAACUCA
Molecule: ribosomal RNA, 527 nt
Filed under: uncultured eukaryote
Lineage: Eukaryota
Description: SSU rRNA
Rfam family: Eukaryotic small subunit ribosomal RNA
Source: RNAcentral